ACUCAAAUGAAUUGACGGAAGUCUAUACAAGCGGUGGAGCAUGUGGUUUAAUUCGAUACAAACCGAAAAAUCUUACCAGUUCUUGAAAGCUUGAGGGAAAAGAUGAAGAGAUUUCAUUAUUUGAGCAAAGCCAACCUGUGAGGCAAUGUGAAAACUUCAGAGUAGGUGCUGCAUGGCUGUCGUAAGCUCGUGUUGUGAAAUGUCAGCUUAAAUGCGUUUGUAAACGGGCGCAACCCUUGUUUCUUGAUAUAGAAGAAAGAAAAUCAACAUAGGAAUGAAAGAUUGGGGGAAGGUAAGGAAGACGUCAAGUCAGUAUGGCCUUUAUGGACUGGGCAACACACGUUCUACAAUGAGUAUUACAAAGAAGAGCAAUGGUGUGAGCCGGAGCAACAUUCUAAAAGGUAUUCGGAGUGCGGAUUGUUCUCUGCAACUUGAGAACAUGAAGGUGGAAUCGCUAGUAAUCGCAAAUCAGCAUGUUGCGGUGAAUAUGUAUAUGGGCUUAGUACACACCGCCCGU
This 517-nucleotide ribosomal RNA is filed under the name uncultured bacterium. RNAcentral's name for it is "partial 16S ribosomal RNA". It matches the Rfam family "Bacterial small subunit ribosomal RNA", at positions 899 to 1397 of the family's 1533-position model. The record is from RNAcentral.